RNAcentral lists this ribosomal RNA (442 nucleotides) under uncultured bacterium. Its description in RNAcentral is "partial 16S ribosomal RNA". It matches the Rfam family "Bacterial small subunit ribosomal RNA", at positions 338 to 795 of the family's 1533-position model. The record is from RNAcentral.
CCUACGGGAGGCAGCAGUGGGGAAUAUUGGGCAAUGGGCGCAAGCCUGACGCAGCAACGCCGCGUGAAGGAAGAAGGCUUUCGGGUUGUAAACUUCUGUUGGCAGGGAAGAGGAGAAGACGGUACGGGACGAAUAAGCCACGGCUAACUACGGGCCAGCAGCCGCGGUAAUACGGAGGUGGCAAGCGUUCUCCGGAUUUACUGGGUGUAAAGGGCGGGUAGCCGUGUGGACAAGUCAGAUGUGAAAUCCUGCGGCGUAACCGCAGAACUGCAUGUGAAACUGUUGAUCUUGAGUACUGGAGAGGCAGGUGGACUUCCUGGUGUAGCGGUGACAUGCGUAGAUAUUAGGAGGAACCCCAGUGGCGAAGGCGGUCUGCUGGACAGCACCUGACGUUGAGGCCCGACAGCGUGGGGCGCAAACAGGAUUAGAUACCCCGGUAGUC